This 311-nucleotide ribosomal RNA is filed under the name uncultured bacterium. Its description in RNAcentral is "bacterial SSU rRNA". It matches the Rfam family "Bacterial small subunit ribosomal RNA", at positions 30 to 342 of the family's 1533-position model. The record is from RNAcentral.
AUUGAACGCUGGCGGCAUGCCUUACACAUGUAAGUCGAACGGCAGCACGGGAGCAAUCCUGGUGGCGAGUGGCGAACGGGUGAGUAAUAUAUCGGAACGUGCCCAGUCGUGGGGAUAACGUAGCGAAAGCUAACGCUAAUACCGCAUACGAUCUAUGGAUGAAAGCGGGGGAUCGCAAGACCUCGCGCGAUUGGAGCGGCCGAUAUCAGAUUAGGAGUUGGUGAGGUAAAGGCUCACCAAGCCGACGAUCUGUAGCUGGUCUGAGAGGACGACCAGCCACACUGGGACUGAGACACGGCCCAGACUCCUAC